This is a long non-coding RNA of Suncus etruscus (white-toothed pygmy shrew), 234 nucleotides long. RefSeq lists it as uncharacterized. The record is from RefSeq and is a predicted model, not a curated record. The transcript has 3 exons. NCBI's taxonomy places the organism in Eukaryota, Metazoa, Chordata, Mammalia, Eulipotyphla, Soricidae.
CCAAGAGUGCAGGCAGCAGCAACCUGCACCCCUGAACAGCCUGUUAUUUCCCAGGAUCCUACACAGUCCCGGAACCCGCAGCCUGGCAGUUGGUGUUGGCUUUGGGAUCCAGAGACCUGGCUAGGAGCGACUCGCGGGCAGCCCAGCAGCAAGCCCGCAAAAGCUGAGCAGUGUCUGCAUACACCGAAAAUAAUUAGACCUAAUGAAUAUGCAGACGCUCCAGCUAAAUCCUGG